GUUGUGGAGCAACAGAGCGACAGAUGUUCAAAUCGUCGGCCAUCCACAGGCUCUGUCUCAUGGCUCCUAAACCUCAACGCUCCCGCCAUUUUGGAGAGACCGCGCUGCUGGGCACUGCAACCAAGAAGCCGAGAACUUUGACCACUGAUGCCACUGCUAGUGCCGCUGAUUCUGACUCCAAUCCGAUGAAGGACGCCUUCUCCAAAUACGCCGCCUAUCUUAAU
Sesamum indicum (sesame) is the source of this 224-nucleotide non-coding RNA. NCBI's taxonomy places the organism in Eukaryota, Viridiplantae, Streptophyta, Magnoliopsida, Lamiales, Pedaliaceae. The record is from RefSeq and is a predicted model, not a curated record.